Molecule: ribosomal RNA, 442 nt
Filed under: Tylos marcuzzii
Lineage: Eukaryota; Metazoa; Arthropoda; Malacostraca; Isopoda; Tylidae
Description: partial 12S small subunit ribosomal RNA
Source: RNAcentral
AUCCUUGAAAUAGAGGUAAAAUUCUGCAUUCAAAGGAAUUCAAACCUAAACUCUAAAUCCAUGGGAAUAAAAAAGGAUUAGAUACCCUUCUAUACUUGGAAACCCACCUCUAAUUAGUAAGAGUUAUCAUUCCGAAAUUUAAAAAGUUUGGCGGCUUCUAGUAUAACCAGGGGAAUUUGUGCCUUUAUCGUCAAUACGCGUUACACCUUACUUAACUCCAGCUUGUAUACCGCCGUCUAAAUUCUUUUAUUAAAAAGAAAUUUCAACCAGAAAUAAAAACGCCAGGCCAUGGUGCAGCAUAGUUAAGGAGGUCACAAAUUACAUUUUACUUAGAACUGAAUCUUAAGCUAAAUACUUAAGUGAAAGUGGACUUGUAAGUAAUUACUGAUUAGAAUACAGUAGUAAAUCUAAACCUAGAAGUGUACAUAUCGCCCGUCACUCU